AGAACAGAAACAUACAGUACCAAGAUUAUUUAUGCGGUUUGCUAUCUCCUAUAUGGCGCUCGGAUAAAUUAGUUUUCACAAGCUGUGCUAGAUACAUGGUAUGCAUUUUCUCAACAUGUUUCUCUAUUCUUUCUGCAUUUUGUUUAGAGGACUAUUUUCAGCCAAGGUCAGAAAAGAAAUAGGUCAUACCAUUAUACGGCAUCAUGUCCACUUUCUGCUACUCUGAACAUUCCGACGUUCGGCCUGACGUACUGAAUUCCGUAGGCUUCGGCUGAUCUAGAGAUACCCCUUUUCUUUGCAGCAUUGGAUGGCUCCGUCGAACAUGUCCUCGAUCCUGUACUUAUACUCAAAACCGGCGUCCAACAGUUUCCUUGACGAUAGGCGGGGGAACCUGGGGCCUUUCAAUUCCUUCAAGGACCUACAAAGAUUUGAAAAGCUUUGCUUUCAGUCCAAGAACAGCAAGAAUCCGUUACAUCAUGAAAUGGGAUAUAUCAGGACUUACUCUGGAGAGGGUAUCUGAAACUCCGGGUAUCUUUCCGAGAGAAACUCGGACAUCUCCUCGAUGGUCAUCGUGGCCGAGGUACAAAUGUACCGCCCCUUGGUGUCGGGGUGCUCCAAGAGGAAGAUGUGUGCUCUUGCCAAGUCGUCUACAUGCACGAAAGAUACUUUGAGAAGAAGAGAGUACUCAUUCUCGUUCCCUGUUAAUUUCGAACAAAGUCAAUCUAAGAUUUGAGAUUCUUUGUAUCAUCGAAAUGAAGAUAAACAUAUGGAUGGACAGAUUAUAGUCCUGUCUUCCUUUGUCAUAUACUUGACAUUGAGCAGAGAAACGUUGUCAAAUUAUGGAAUUCUGGUAUCGUUCUGGUGACCAAAACAAUCAAAUUGAUCAUGAAUUUGACUGCAGUACCAAAGGUGUAUCACGAAAAGUUAAUGUAAAAUCAAUAGAUCAUGGAGAUCAAUAUUAUAUGAACCAUAGUUUCUCUGUAAAUUUCACAUGAUCAACAGUUCAGAUAGACUUGACUGACCAUAUAUAUAUUGAUCGUAUGAUAUUUUCUCACGUAUCACAUUACCUAAUACCAAAGCCAGCGAAACUCGGACGGAUCCAGCGAACUUGGGGCAAAUGAAGGGCCCGUGGACAAACGUGGGAACCACCGUCACCACUUCCAGUCCGUGCUGCUCUCCGAACUCAAGAACCGCCUUCUCAGUCAAUGUCUUUGAGAUUGCGUAGGAAGAUCCAAACCUCCCCAUUUCUCGGAUGGACUCAACAUCGCUCCAGGAGUCCUCAUCCAAUAUAUAGGCCCCAGAGUUAUUAUAUUCAAUUGCAGCCGCACUCGAAGUGUACACGACCCGCUUCACUGUCUUGGAGUUCAGGCAGGCCCUCAGGAUGCCCAAUGCUCCAUCGAUGGAUCUUUUGGUGACGACUGGCUCUGGCUCUCUGUCCUCGAAGUCCACCGGGGUGGCAACGUGGAAGACUCCGACACAGCCCUUGAUGGCUGGGCUGAAACUCUCGGGGUCACUGAGUUCAGCGGUUAGGAUUUGGAGCCUUUCUGAUGCUCCUGGUAGAUUUUUCAAGAAGCUCGUGUCCCUUUUGCCAUCUGAGCGGAACAAAUUGGUCAAUCGCCUUGCGAAUAAAAGCUCAAACAUCUAAUGGGAAACUGAUGUGUGAGGUUGACUGGAGAUAACAGUCCAAAAUAUAUUAACCAACAUGACUCAUUCAGGAAACACUCCGAAUUACAGCAUUAAACUUAACAACGAGAACUGCAAGAAAAGCUGAUUCAAGAGAGAAGGAGUGAAUUCAUAUGUAGAACAAGAGCAAGAGAUCAUCAUUAACCGAUUCAGCUGCCCCUAAGUCAAGACAUCCUUUGUUCAUCUUAUGCCUUCUCAUGCUUGAAAGGGCGGCAAAAAAGGGUUGCUUUUCUUAUGGUUCCAUGCCCAAUGACAAUUCCGAUCAGAAUCGAACCUCAAACGCCACGAAUCAUACAAAAAACAUAGAAAUUUCUCCAUCUGUCGACACCCCAACUUUCUGCAUAAACAUUUCACAUGCACAGACCGUUCGAAACACAUGAGCAGUCCCAUACACUUAAUCUAUACGAUCAAACUUCGAUCAAGAGCGCUAACCAUAGUAUUGCCAAUAAAUUUGCAGGCACAGACAGAUCAGAUCAUGUUGGACCGUCGUGUUGACAUAUACAGUACAAAACAUCAAUCUCAGACCAUACACUUGAUCAGAACUCAUGGCAAGAACGAAUCUCCAUGUUCAAGCAGGAAGAAAGAAGAAGGGAGACUUACCCGGGUCGGGUCUGACGGUGGUCCGGACGGAGUAACCAUGUUCAAGGAGCCUCAUGAUGAGCCAUGAAGCUAUGAAGCCAGUACCGCCUGUCACGCACACCGUGCCUCUGUUGCCCUCCAUGGCUUGGAGAAGUAAGACGCUUCAAUUUUCAGGAAGCAUCCAACUUUUUUGAGUGACCUCGAUGAUUUGGCCAGCAGGGCGGGGGCGCCUCUCCACUUAAAAGCGGAUGCAACGCCGCUUACGUCACUUUGAUUUUCGUUUUCAAAAGGGGCCAAAAAAAAAAAAAUGAGUGGUAAGGGAUGCAUCUUCCCCGCUGAAAGUCAUCUUUCAAUUUGAGUAAUAAUCACUAAAUGUACUUUUCAAUCAUCCAUCGUGGACACAGUCCUAGACAAAUGAGUCGAUAGACAAGUGUCUCUCAACAUAAGGUUAUAUCCUAGACCAAUGAGUUUCUUCUGCUUGUCCGAUCCCCCCGGAUUCUUAAUUCAAUUUCGAGCCUUCCUCCUUCGAUCCCUCGGCUCCUUCUGUCGCUCGCCGAAUCCGCACGCUGACGUCGAUGGUUCCCUCCACGUCGUCGCGUAGCUCAUCAUGAUCCUCGCCGGCACGCUUCGUGCCGUUUCGACCCCACCCGCGACGCGGACGCUACCGGGCGCCUGCUCUGCUAUAUAGCGGGUCGCCCCGCCACUGUGAAAGCUGGAGGCCCCAGGGGAAGUGAUGGAUUCCGCAGAUUCUCGCCCCGAUGAGGAAGCUCCGUUGGUCGUCGCCGCCUCCGCCGAGGCCUCGCCGGCGGCGGCGGCGGCUCCGUCGCCUCGGGGGAGCCAUGUCCGGGACGUCCAUAUACUGAGCUGCGGGUUUCUGCUCAUCUUCUCGGCCUACGGGGCUGCUCAGAAUCUCGAGAGCACCGUGAACACUGUGAGUUCCGGUUUCGGCGACGUUUCCGUUGAAUCGCGGGCUCCAAGUUCGCAUUUUUUACUUCCCCGGGAAAGAAUUGAGAGAAAUCGACGAUCGACAAGUGAAAACCUAGUAGCAGAAUCUGGACUUCUGCGUCUGAGCUUGCUUUUAGGAAUUGUUCCUUUUUUUUUUUUUUCUCGUUUCUUACUUCGUUUGACGUUGCGUUUUGGUUUGAUGAGUUUCUUGAUUUUGUUGCAGACGGAUAAUAUGGGCGUGGGAGUCGAAACCCACUCUUGAAACUUACUCGUCCCCACCCCAUCCCCUGAGAAUGUGAGGAUUUGAACCCAUCACCUCUCCCUUCCAUGUUAGAAGGAUGGCUACUGGGCAAAUCCCAGUGAUUUACGAUAAAACUCUAAUUUAUGACUUUGUUAAAGACAAGGUACCCAAUUGCUACUAGACUACCACAUUUGAUGGUGCAACGACUUGACAUAUGUUGGAUUAUAUAUAUAUAUAUAUUUCUUAUUUUAACAUCUUAAAUUCUUCGAGAAAAAAAUAUUUGUUUAACAUGGUAUUAGAGCACAAGUGAUGAGGUCAAAUGCCUAGACUCCCUCCCACAUUUUGUAUGUUUAUCUGCCGUUGAUUAUUCGUAUAAUGUGAUUAUGCACCUAUCUCGUUAUUUUAAAUGUAAGUCAUGAUUCACACACAAUAAAGUGUGUUAAAUAAUAUAGUGUAUCAAUAUAGUUGGCAACCGUUUAAACAACUUAAAAAAAUUUCAAAAGAAAAAAUGAUUUGUGUCACUAUCUAUAGAUUUUUUUUUUAUUUCAUAAAAUUGAAUGAAUUGGUCAUUUCACUCUAGUUUUUCAUUCUAUCACCAAUCAACAGUUGGAAGGCAGUCUUACGACAUGGCUAGUGAUUAUUUCUUUUUUCUAUAGAGUGUCGGGAUCAUAACAAAUACACAAAAAGAUCUUAAUAAUUGUUUGUGAAAAUCAAUUUGCUGAUCGACGAUAGACAAAACAAUUAUCCGACACAUUAAAAUGCUUUAAUGAUAUAGAGUUGUGGGAAUCAAGAUGUCGUGGCACUAUACUAUACCAGUAAUGCCAUUCAUUUUGUGGAAUAUGUUCACCCAAUUAAGCGAUAUAAUUGUUUGCCUCGAAUAAUGAACUUGUUACCAAGACAAUUUGAACUUCUCUCUAUACAUAAAUUUAUAACCCUCAGAAAUUCUCAUUUGAAUCAAAGAAACCAUGAACACACGCUAGCAAAAUCAUUCAUGGUUCGACGAAGAGAUUUGUACGAUUCCAUCAUUACCGCGUCCCGAAAGAGGACGACCCUCGUCGUGCCUUUCGAUGUUAGCGGAGGUUUCCACAAUUCCCUGUCAUGAUCCUGCUCGAAUGCUAGCGGUGGGGUUGGCGCUCGGUCUCAAUCCAACGAAGGGGACCUUCCACGGCGAGAAACCCUACUUUUCAGCUCCGUUGAACUUGCUAUCCGGACCAGUGCCUAACCGGUGUCGAUCGUUUACACGAUCUUUAUCCUCACCCAGCUGUGCUUGGAGGGGGCACGCCUAGUUAGGUUAAUCAGUUCAUGUUGACUCUCUUUCCUGUGAUGAGACAAAGUUACUUUUCCUUUUGUCUUUCUCGUGCUCUCGUCCUUUCCUUUCCCCACUAUGGCCGUUCGAUCUGCACGCUGGUUCGCUUUCUCUGAAGAUGUGGGUGAUUCUACACUGACCCAGCAGCUGCAUUAGGCCCCUGCGGUAGCGCCAUUAGCAGUUGGACGUCCCUAUUAGAAAAAGACUCGCAUAGCAUCCGUUUCCACUUCCAGUAAUUGCACUCCCUUAUCUGCACUAUGUUCCUUGAUCAUCACGCAAUACACUUCCAGCUCCCAGGUGCACCUAUCGCUCCUACGACUGCACCAUCAGUAUUGAGCUUGUGCCAGCCUCCCCCCCGUCUUCCCAACCCAAUUCUUAUGUGCAGACGCAUCACCAAUGUGUGUCCGACAUUAGCACAUUAGCACCGAUCCAGUCCCUCAGGCUAAGAUCAUAACUAUGGUGAAGGGGAGAAGGAGCAUCAAUGUGAGCCCAACAUUCAUUGAGGACAUAGUGCUAACAUUCAAAUCUCUUCUCGCCAGAGUGGAUCUCGUGGCAAUGCUGUACGUGGCAUUAACGAAAUGAAAAAUCGAAUGCGAGGAACAGCAUCCACUUUCCACGCACAUCUCCAGUCUUCUUCCGGCUUUCUCCAAGCAUCCAAACCUUCAGCCAAAUGAUAAACAGCGUUCAAAGUAAAGCGCCAGUCCCUAGAGAAACUCCAACCGAAUUCAGAGUGCCCCUUGCCCCUCUUCCGAUCUGGACUGCCUUAUCAUAUUCGGAAUCUCGUUAGGAAGGGAUAAGAGAGUCUAGAAAAGUCCCAAACUCCCGUAGAAAUCAAACAAGUCCUUCACUUUCAACUCCAAAUCACUGACACGUCGAGGCUCAAUUACUAGAUCCCCUAAUGGACCAGACCCUGGUCAGAUGUCAAGUAGGCUUUCCAACUAGUGAGCCUAGUCCGAGCCUUCUCAAUGAUGAACCCGAAACGACAAGAACUAACACGAUCUGUAUGCAAAGUAAAUCCCGACUAGCAACACCAAGACAACCCAAGCCAUCUGUGGAGAUCGUCAUAAGCAGCAAUAGCAAUAAUACCAGAGAGUUAAAUCACGAUCAUCAUAUCAUAUCUCCAGAAAAGAAGACCUCGGAUUUACUGAAAAUUUAACCUUUUUCCCAGAAUCCUCACAGAAAGACUUGACAGUGUCUACGACCAAUUGACAACCAACCUCAGUAGCCUCUCCAAACGGAAAACAUUCCGCCAGUAAAGAAAAAUUGCGAGAAAGCCAAGGCCCCUCUCAAGGCCUUCAUCGGCUUCCAAUUGCCAUUGCGACAUUCCUCUGCAAAUAAAUAGCCUAGUAUUUCCAUAUAACGGAUAAACAGGUAAAGGGUAAAUAAGAUCACCUUGCUUUAAUCCCUACACGGCGAGAAAGGACAUAGCAUACCACCGUUCAUAAAUGAUAGUGGUAGAAGCAGUAGUGAUGCAAAUCGCACCUGUAUUCGAGAUCGAUUUUGACAGCAAAGGAACCGGUCCUUCGCUUCCGUAUGUUGCAUCAUAGAACAUCAUCAUGCGUUCACCUCCCUCGGGGAUGAAGCUAGCCCAGCAAGGACUAAUGAUAUCAUCAAGAAAAAGGCCUUAAGCGCCCGAUAAAUGAGCAAAGCGUUCCUAAUUUUUCCAGUUCAUCCCUUUUAUGAAGGCAAAACAUAAAUUUUAUAUUUUGGAUCCUCUUUUCUUUUCUUUUUUUCUGUGUAGCAUGGCCCAAAGGUAGCAUGUAACAAAUAAAAUGAACGAAGUUUUCAUGGAUUAAAGUUCAGUGAGAUCAAACAAAAUAAUUUUGCGAGUCAUAUUAGCUACUUAACUCUCUUUUAGCAUGACCUAAGAUUAUAAACAUCUCUAUUAAAUUUGUGCAAUUUGUGUAGUCUGAAAUAAACAAGGAGAAAAAUUCUUCUCGCCCCAUUUUUGUCUAUCCUCUACCCGAUUAUUGCAGCUUACCCAUUGCCCCAUGCUUCCUCCACGACCCCCCGAGACCAUCUCGACAGCCACCGUUUCUGAUAGCUACCUUCGCCUCGAUAAAAUAUUCGAUGGGUCCAUAGCGUUUACAUCAACUGCUGGUCAUGUUGCGAGUAUUUUUUACUCACGUCCGCUUAUAAAUUGACACGUGUUUGUUGAUGUGGAUGGGAAAAGACAAUUAAAAUAUGUUUCUACUUCCACCGACCUGUAACUCGAACGAGCCACCUCGCAUUUGUUUUUUCUUUUUGCCUUUUGAGGUCAUGGAUGAGCAAGGCAUGUGGUCAUGAUUGGCAGCGUCACCGGCCGGCCAUGAUAGCAGCAACAUCAAUAUGGACGAGCAAGGCUAGAGAGAAAUGUAAUGGGAGAAUGGUAAUAGUUCGAACAAUAUCGAAUCAACGCAGUGUAAUAAAAUAAUCUCACAUCUUAUGUAAACCUAAUAGGAAUCGAUAUGGUAGAGUAAAAUAAAUACCAAGCACGCGAACACAGGACGAUUUUUUUACGUGGAAAACCUCCUUGAUGUGAGGAGAUAAAAAACCACGGGAUUGGAGUCCACCUGAAAAUCUUCACUAUCAAUAAAAUUGUUCUUCUCUAGCAAAUACUAGAGGUACAUAGCAGCAAACACCUCAAGAACAUAAUUCUUGGCAAUACACAUGAACUUCACAAGAGAUCAAGGAUAAAUCUGACCAAAAACGUAGGUUUUGAUCAAUCCACAAAAAACCUGAUGUAUGGAGCUUCAAAUGAAAAUCAAACCGUUCAGAUUCAAUUAAAUUGCGCCACAAACAUGCUGACAAAAUUUCAGCUCAAUCGAACCACGAAUCGACCUCCAACGCCAGCUUGAUGUAAAUCAGAUAUUGCCCAAAACCCCAGAUUUUCUGCUUUCUCUUACUCUUUCCUUUUCUGCUACUACCUCUUUAUAUAAAUAGUGAGAAACCCUAUUUCUUCAUAUAACUUAUUAUAUGGACUCAAGUCCUUUUUGGGCUUGCAACUCAUUGGGCUUCCUCCACAUAGGAGUGAACCCAGCUAACAAAUCUCCCCAUCACGACAAUGUGGAGGGAUUCACUAUCCCUACUAUCAAACGGCAAUGUUCAAGCUUCUUUCUUGGUACAGUCUUCGUCAUCAUAUCAAAGCCAUUAUGAUCUGUAUGAAUUUUCUCAAGUUCCAACAACUUUUCAUCUAGAACAUCCCUUAUCCAAUGAUAUCUAACAUCAAUAUAUUUUGAUCUAGAAUGAAAAGAUGAAUUCUUACCAAGAUGAAUUGCGCUUUGAUUAUCACAAAAUAGCACAUACCUCUUUUGCUUGAACCCAAGUUCUUCUAAGAACUUCUUCAUCCAUAACAUCUCUUUACUAGCUUCAGUCGCUGCAAUAAAUUCAGCUUUGGUUGUAGAAAGUGCAACACACUUAUGCAAUCUUAACUUUCAUGACACAGCUCCACCCGCAAAAGAAAUCAAAUAACCAGAAGUAGAUUUACGAGUAUCAAUAUCUCCUACCAAGUCGGAAUCUGUGUAUCCAACUAACUCAAGUUUCCCGGUCCCGAAACUGAGUUUCAAAUUUGAAGUUCCCCGAAGAUACCUCAUAAUCCACUUCAAUGCAUUCCAGUGCUCUCUGCCUGGAUUUGAUAAAUAACGACUAACAACGCCAACUGUGUGCGCCAAGUCUGGGCGUGUACAUACCAUCGCAUACAUUAAGCUUCCUAAAGCAUAUGGAAUACUUUCCAUAUCUUUCUUUUCUUUAUCAGUCGUAGGACUUUGCAUCAUAUUUAACUUAAAGUGGGUAGCAAGAGGAGUACUAACCACUUUAACCUUGUCCAUGUAAAAUUUCUGAAGGAUCUUCUCGAUAUAUUUCUCUUGCGACAAAAAUAACUUCUUAGCAUCUCUGUCUCGGGUAAUUCUAAUGCCAAGAAUCUGCUUCGCCGAGCUCAAGUCUUUCAUGGCAAAAGACUUGCUCAACUGUUUCUUCAAUAACUCAAUUCUUGAAGCAUUAUUGCCAACAAUCAGUAUAUCAUCAACAUAAAGCAAGAGAAUAAUAAAGUCAUCAUCAGAAAUUUUUUUGACAAACACACAGUUAUCCGAGGAAGUCUUCUUAUAGCCUUGUUCUGUCAUAACUGACGCAAAUUUCUUAUACCACUGCCUCGAUGCUUGUUUUAGGCCAUAGAGACUUUUCUUCAAUUUGCACACAUAAUCCUCUUUCCCUUUCACUUUGAAACUCUUAGGUUGUUUCAUGUAUAUCUCUUCCUCCAAGUCACCAUGUAGGAAGGCCGUUUUAACAUCCAUUUGCUCAAUUUCUAAAUCUAGGCUAGCUGCCAAGCCUAGUACCACACGAAUAGAAAAUAUUUUCAAUACCGGAGAAAAUAUAUCAUCAAAAUCAAUACCCUUUCUCUAACCGAAUCCCUUAACAACCAAUCUAGCUUUGAACCGUGGUUGUAAGGUAUGUUCAUCUUGCUUCAACCUAUAUACCCACUUGUUCUUCAAAGCUCUUUUACCUUUAGGUAACUUCACCAAUUCAAAAGUAUGAUUAUCAUAAAGUGACUGCAUCUCAUCUCGCAUAGCAUCGAACCAAUUACUUCUGUACUCAUCUUCUAUUGCUUCCGCAUAGCACUCUAGUUCACCUGCAUCAGUCAAUAAUACAUACUUAUCUUUAGAAUACCUGAUGGAAGGUCGUCGGUCUCUAACAAAUAUCUGGACUAGAACAUCCAGUGGAAUAUCUAAUUGAGUCUCUGGUUCAGGAAUAGUAUUAUCUACUUCAACAUGUUCAGAAACAUGUGCGUUAUUUGGAACAUUGACUUCCUGCUGCUCUUCAUCAACUUGUGUAGGAAUAUUUGUAAGAGGAACUGGAUCUAAAUCAACCAGAUUAUUACUAACCUGUGAUGCUGAAAUCAUCUUUGAUUUCUCAAUAUUUUCUAUUGUUUGAUCUUCUAUAAACACAAUGUCUCUGCUUCUUACAAUUUUCUUUUCAAGUGGAUCAUAAAAUUUGUAGCCAAGCAUAUCCUGUCCAUAACCAAUAAAUAUGCACUGUCGUGUUUUCACAUCAAGUUUAGACCUCUCAUCUUUGCAAAUAUGCACAAAUGCUUUGCACCCAAAUACACGCAAAUAAUCAUAAGAAACUUCUUUGCUUGUCCAAACUCUAUUAGGAACAUCAAACUCUAAAGGAACGCAUGGAGUAAGAUUUAACACAUACACGACGGUCCUUAAAGCCUCACCCCAAAAGGAUCCAGGUAGUUUUGAUUGUGAAAGUAAGCAUCUUACCCUUUCAACCAGUGUUCUGUUCAUUCUCUCAGCUAAGCCAUUUAACUGAGGUGUCUUAGGAGGUAUCGUUUGAUGUUGAAUACCUUGUUGUCCGCAGUAUUCAUCAAAAGGUCCAAUAUACUCUCCCCUGUUAUCAGUUCUGAUGCAUUUCAAUUUCUUUCUAGUCUAUUUUUCAACUGAAGCCUGAAAUUGCUUAAAAGCAUCUAACAUUUGAUUUUUAGUUUUCAAGGUAUAAAUCCAAAUUUUCCUUGAAAAAUCAUCUAUAAAAGUAACAAAAUAAAGAGAGCCACCAAGUGAUUUUGUUUUCAUUGGACCGCAAACAUCAGAAUGCACUAAAUCCAAUAUACCUGACUUUCUUGAAUGAGGGGAGCUUUUAAAUGCAACUCUAUUCUAUUUUCCUGCUAAACAAUGAGCACACUUCUUUAGCGCUGAACUUUUCAAUCCUGAAAGAAGCUUCUUCUUGGCCAAUAUUGAUAAACCAUUCUCACUUAUGUGACUGAGCCUCUUAUGCCAUAACUCAGCUGCAUCUUCGCUAUCUACUGCAUUAAUUUUGUCUGUAGACAACUUUGCUUGCAUAAUGUAUAAUGAAGAAUUCACCUCUAGCCACAACAAGAGAACCUUUGGUAAGUUUCCAUUGACCAUUACUAAAGGUGCUGCAAUACCCCUCAUCAUCCAACUUGCCUGUAGAAAUUAAAUUCAAGCGGAUAUCAGGUAUAUGUUUAACAUUAUUCAAUACUAACCUUGUGUCAUUGUUGGUUUCUAGGCACACAUCACCGAUGCCUACAGCUUGAGCUAGUCCAUUGUUUCCCAUCUUCACAGAUCUGAAGUCACCUGACUUGUAUGAUGUAAAGAAAUCCCUACGAGAUGUAGCAUGAACAGAUGCAUCACUAUCAAUUACCCAAUUGGUCUCAUGAGAAACAAAAUUCACCACAUCACCAUCAAAAAUAGUGAGAAAGUCUUCUUUAAGUGCAACGACACGAUUGUCAUCACUGUCAUCAUCACUUUUCUUCUCUUUACCUUUCUCCUUUUAAUUCUCCCUUUUUAACUGGCGACAAAACCUCUGAAUAUGUCCCUUCUGAUGACAAUAAUGGCACUCAAUAUUAGCAAAUUUAUUAUACUUACCUCUGCUCUUGUCUCGACUUUUAUCUCUAUUUCUCGGACCUCGAGACUCACUUCUCCCCAUUUUCUCAACAACGAAGGCAUCAAAAUGUGAAGACGACGAUCCCUGUGUCUUCCUUCUCAUUUCUUCAUUCAAAAUACUUCUCUUGGCUAAAUCCAUGGUAAUUGUACCAUCUGGGGCAGAAUUAGACAAAGAUGUUCGGAACGUCUCCCAUGAGUCCGACAAAGUACCAAGCAACCAUAGUGCUUGUAUCUCAUCAUCAAACUUGAUUCCCAUCCAACUGAUUUAUAAUUCCUUGAAAAGAAUUUAAAUGAUCAGUCAAACAAGUACCAUCAUGAUAUCUCAAAGCCAUAAUCUGUUUUAUAAAAAAUAACUUAUUAUUCCCAGUCUUUCGAGCAUAUAACUGUUCGAGCUUAUCCCAUAAACUGCGUGCAUGUGUUUCAUCAAUAAUAUGGUUCAAAACAUUAUCAUCUACCCACUGCCUGAUAUAACCACACACUUGACGAUGAAAUAUAGACCAUUCAACAUCAGUUUUAUUCUCUGGUUUCUCCUCAGCAAAUACAGGCAAAUAAAAAUCUUUCACAUAUAAAAGAUCUUCCAUCUUCCCUUUCCAGAUAUGAUAAUUUGAACCAUUCAGUGUAACCAUUCUACUAGUAUUCAUUUCCAUUGUUUAACACAAGGCAGAAAAAUCAAGUAAUAACCUAUUGCUCUAAUACCACUCUGAUGGGAGAACGGUAAUAAUUCGAACAAUAUCGAAUCAACGCAACGGAAUAAAAUAAUCUCCCCUCUUGUGUAAACCUAAUAGGAAUCGAUAUAGUAGAGUAAAAUAAAUACCAAGUACGCGAACACAAGACGAUUUUUUUACGUGGAAAAUCUCCUCGAUAUGAGGAGAUAAAAAAACCACGAGACCGAAGUCCACCUAAAAAUAUUCACUAUCAAUAAAAUUGUUCUUCUCUAGCAAAUACUAGAGGUACAUAGCAGCAAAUACCUCAAGAACAUAAUUCUUGGCAAUACACAUGAAUUUCACAAUAGAUCAAGGAUAAAUCUGACCAAAAACACAGGUUUUGAUCAAUCCACGAAAAACCUGAUGUAUGGAGCUUCAAACAAAAAUCAAACCGUUCAGAUUCGAUUAAAUUGCGCCACGAACAUGCUGACAAAAUUUCAGCUCAAUCAGACCAUGAAUCGACCUCCAACGCUAGCUUGAUGUAAAUCAGAUAUUGCUCAAAACCCCAGAUUUUCUGCUUUCUCUUACUCUUUCCUUUUCUGCUGCUACCUCUUUAUAUAGAUAGUGAAAAACCCUAUUUCCUCAUAUAACUUAUUAUAUGGGCUCAAGUCCUUUUUGGGCUUGCAACUCAUUGGGCUUCCUCCACAUAGGAGUGAACUUAGCUAACAAAAUGUCCAUGCCCGACCAUUUUGUUUGGCCAGAUCCGGUCGGCUCUGUCUCCCGUCGCCAAGGUCGCAGAUCCGAACCACCAACGAGUUCCACCUUCUACCUUAGACGGGAAGACGGAACCAAGGGGCGAGUUCCUCCUUCUCCAUGGCAAUAGAGCUCUUAAUGGGCCUUUGAGAUCACUAGCCCUUCGAGUUGGAUGGCACCAUCCCGUCACACCAUCUCCGCCCCUUAAUGGGCAUCGCUCGUGAUCAGCCUAAGCAACUCGCCCCGCCGUGUUGCUUGUCCAGAUAUGGUUUCGCCCAUGGCCACAAACCUUGCUCAGCAUAGCUCGUGAGGCGGCUCAUCCACAGACUGCAACUCGUCCAUGGCUACGAACCCUUGAUGAUGAACUCGGAAUUCCGACAGCCGUGAUCAGUAAACAAGCGCAAGCCUGGAUGGCCGGAUAGCGCUCUAUGGAUGGAGGAAGAGACAAGUCAACGUCCACAUGUCAACUUAAAAUCAGACCCGUCAGCAGCUAAUGUGGCGCUACGAAAUCACUUCAUAGUUUCUCCACCUUUGUCCAACAUCCGAUAACGAAAUCACUUCAUAGUUUCUCCACUCUCUCUCUCUCUCUCUAUGCAUGCGCAGGCCAGAGUGCACAGAGGCUUGAUUACCAUUGACGGGACUCCUUCAAAUCUUUGCAUCAGGCAAGCUUGGAGGGCGACCCAAAAUUUACAUAGACGCCUCCACGGCAAGAGGGUUCUCAUAGGGUAAUCAGUUUCCUGUAUGUUCCAAUUUCCUAAAAGAAAACCGAACCAGGACCGGACUGAGAAUCGGACCACACCUUCCAAUCCGGUAAAAUCAGUUACUUAAUUUUUCCUAUUACUUAGAACUGGAUCAAGAUAAUAUUUAGUUUACAUUUUAUUAAUUUUUUAAGAAAUAAUAUAAUAAAAAAGUAUAUUUAGUUAGUCAUGUUUGGUUUGAUCCAGUUUCCCCUUGGAACUAGGAACCCAAUUAGGGUAUUUUGCACACCUCUAUCUCACACUAUCGAGAUCUAGAUGAGAGCAAUGUCCACAUGUCUUGUUGGCAAAAUCUAAUGCCUCCAUCCCUUGGAUGAGUGACAAUGCGCAGAGAGAGAGAGAGAGAGAGAGAGAGAGAGUUGCGUGGAGAGGGAGAGAAGGGCAUCGACAGUUGCUCAAAGAAGAGGAGAGGGAGAAAGGCAAAGUCAGCUAAAGUUUGGCGAAACCAGCGGCAAAAUAAUACUGUUAAUCCGUCAAUUUUGACCAAGUUAUUGCUUUUGAUUUGUUUAUUAUGAUUCUUCAAUUAUUUUUCAUGUUCGAUAUAAUUUCUUAAACUUUUGAAUUUUUAAUCUAAUUUCUCAAUUUCCUUAUAAAGUCAAAUCAAUCAUUUAGUGCGAUUAAUAGGUUUUCGUAAGCGGGUUUUUUUUAAUAUCUUUUCAUUUCAAUAGUUUUUCUCCAAAAAAAAUUAAUAAUUUUAUAUUACUUUGUGCCUUUUUGGUUUUUAUGAAUAUCACGAUAACUCAAUCAAAAUCUUGAUAAUUGUAAAGUGUAGCUAAUAAUCUCUAAAAUAGUAAAAUUAGAAUCCCAUUUGAAGCUGUGUUACAUUGGUAUUCCUAUUCUGUUAUUUAUAUAUGCUUUCAUAUUGACAUCUAUAAAUGAUAUUGAUUUAUCUGUAGAUAUAUGUAUUUGUAUUAAUCUAAAUCGUGUUAUUUAUUAAACAAAUAUGGAACAAGAUAUAAGACACUGAAAUUUUUAUUAAUUUGAAAAAUGAGGAACCUUGUUCUUGAAAGUGAUUGACUACGAAGUAGCGAUACCAUCCGGGAACCUUUGUAUCAUGUGGACACUUUGACACAUGUCUAACAUUUGGUCAACAGGUAUCAAAAUCAAUUUUCCCGAUACUCUUUGACACGUGAGAGGGAAUUCUAACAUCUGUGUUCCAAAUUAUAAUACGCAAUUCUAACAAGCAUGUGAUCAAUUUUUAAAUUUUUUAAUAAAUGAGGGGUUAAAAUAUAAAUAUGUAAAAAAAAAUUUAAAAAAAAAAGAGGAAAAAAGAAAAACAUAAUCUUCUCUUUUUUUUCUCUUUUUUUCUAAGUCUCACUUCCCGUGACACGCAAUUCAUCCUUAAUGUUUAUUUUUUCUUUUCUCUUCUGACACGCUCUAACACGCAAGUCCCAAACGUGAAUUGCUAUUUUUUUCCCUCCAAUUUUAUGCAUUAUUAGAAUAUAAUUGAAUUUGUCAAAUUGAAAUAAUGAAUGAUAUUAACAAAAUAUGGAUUAACGUUAUUGGUGUAAAUUCAUUCUACACACUUUUUUUAUUAUAUAUUUAUUUUUGAAUUUAAUUAAAAUAAUCAUAAAAAUAAUAAUUUAUCAUGUAUUUAUAAACAUAUACAUUUAAUAUAUACCGCGUUUCAAUGUGCCGGAAUUCUUUAUUUUUGAAGAAUCAAUGUGUCGGCAUGUCAGGUCGCAUGUGGUGUGUUAGUAUCAAUACUUUCUUGAAGAAUGAAAGUGUGUUUUCAGUAGUACUCCCAGUAGGAAAGGCAGAGUUGCUUGAUUGAGCAUGGAUUAAAAAAGACAGUGGAGAUGUUAUCGAUUUCUUAUAGCACAUGGCAACAUAGAUGGUGCAUUAAGCUUCGGAAACAGAAAUCCUCAACAAUAUUCACGAAGAACAGAAGGCACAUAUAUCAUGAUCUAUGCUAUAAGUGCUUCUGUUCUCAGUACUGCAAUAUCAAAUGCAUAAGAACAGAAACAUACAGUACCAAGAUUAUUUACACGGUUUGCUAUCUCCUAUAUGGCGCUCAGAUAAAUUAGUUUUCACAAGCUGUGCUAGAUACAAGGUACGCAUUUUCUCAACAUGUUUCUCUAUUCAUUCUGCAUUUUGUUUACAGGACUAUUUUCAGCCAAGGUCAGAAAAGAAAUAGGUCAUACCAUUAAACGGCAUCAUGUCCACUUUCUGGUACCCUGAACAUUCCGACGUUCGGCCUGAUGUACUGAAUUCCGUAGGCUUC
Molecule: long non-coding RNA, 15510 nt
Filed under: Eucalyptus grandis
Lineage: Eukaryota; Viridiplantae; Streptophyta; Magnoliopsida; Myrtales; Myrtaceae
Description: long non-coding RNA (EGRA_LNC002714)
Source: RNAcentral